CGCCAACCAACUAGCCCGCCCAAACAAAACCAACAACCAAACAUUUAUAAACCCUAAGCACACGCGCCCCCCCCAGAAACAAAUCAUUUUACCCCCCUAGUACGG
RNAcentral lists this ribosomal RNA (105 nucleotides) under Benthodesmus tenuis (slender frostfish). RNAcentral's name for it is "partial 16S rRNA". Lineage: Eukaryota; Metazoa; Chordata; Actinopteri; Scombriformes; Trichiuridae. The record is from RNAcentral.